AUAUAUAUGUUUAUAUUAUAAAAGAAAUUUGUUUUAUAAAAGCAGAUUAGCUUGUUAUAUUCUUUCAUUUAUAUUUAAUUUAAGGAUAAUUGUGUUAUUUAAAAUUAUAUAAUCUAUAAAAAUAUUAUACAUUAUUAUCACUAUUAUACUUAUCUUUUAAUAGAAAAUGCCUAAAAUGGAUGGAAUGUCAAAAAAAAAUUUGUUUAAUUAAAUAAUUUAUUAAUUAAUUACCCGGAUUUAUGGCUUCAUUUUGGCUAAGAAUGCCAGUGAAAUCUUCGGCUUUGCUGAGAGUGCCAUUUGAAUUGGGAAUGGAAUGAUGAUUCCUACUUUGAUUUUAUUUUUAUGUUUGGUAUAUUAUCUUUGUAUAAAUCAUCAUUCUAUUUGAAAUCACCAUAUAUAUAUAUAUGAAUUAUCAUUUCUUCCGCCUACUAUGAUAUUAGUCAUUGCAUUCUAUUUUUAAUAAAAGUAUUUUAUUGAAUAAAAAAAUAUUUUAAAAUAAUAUUAUGGACAUACCAAAAUAGUAAAAGUUGAAACUAUAUCAUGGACGGAGGGAGUAUAAUAAAAGAAUUUCUCAGAACAUAGUGAAAUAUUUUCUCGGACAACUCCUUUUCAUUUAUUUUAUUUCCAAUGGUAAUUGAUAGUUUUUGGGUAGUGGCGUGGAAAUAUUUUCAAUAUUUAGUAUGAUAAUUUUGAUAAUUUGAUCACCUAUUUCCAACAAAGUAAACAAGUGUAUAAUCUUAGAUAAGUUUUUUUUUUUCAUCAAUACUCCCUCCAUCCUAUUCUAGCAGGGUCGUCCCUAUUCUAGCAGGGUCGUUUUCCUUUCUGAGACGUCUCACUAGAAUAUGUUUGUUUUCGAUUUUGAGAAAAAAAAAUGUUUAAUUUAUGUGAACCAACUCCUAAAAUAUAAGUUUAUUAAUUUUCGUAUCCAAAAGAAAUGAGCGUAUUAGAAUAUGACAGAAGGAGUAUAAGAUAAAAAAGCGAAGUAAAAUAAUAUUUACUUUCGUCUUUUUUUUAUUUAUCGUUUUUCAAUAAAAAAUUUACCAUUAAAAUAACCGCAAACUUAAUAAAGAUAUUAUCCAAUCCAUCUUUAGGAAGCAUGGGAUCAAAUUCAAAUACUUGCAUCAUUUUGGUAAUGGAAAUAGAAAGAAGUAAGGCGUUAACUUUUUCAGAAAAAAGCAGCAAGAAUCGAAAAUCUUGGAAAAAGAGAACGAAAGAUGAAAAUGCAGAUUUCAAAAUUAGAUUCUCGAAAAGGAAACAAUUGCCAAGUGUAUUGAGAAAAAAAAAAAAAAAAAAAACAAUUGUCAAAAUUAAAUCUUUUCCAUUUCUAGCAUUCAUGCAAUAUCAAUUAUGACAGGGAAUCUUCUUCUUUAAUUGGGAGAUCCUAUUUGUGAAAAACACCACCAUUAAUUCUCACCUAUAAUCUAAUCUCUCUGUGUUUCUGGCCUUUAUAAUCUGCUAACUCCUUCUCCACCUCUCAUCUCUCUUCCUCUCUCUUCCCUACCCAAACCCUUUUCCCUCUCUCUCCUCUGCCACUGUUCGUCGGUGGAAAGCAUCGGCGGCAGCAGCGGCGCUGCCUCAUCUCUCCCUUGACCUCCAAUAGACCACAGCUCCAAACACACAUAGCCGCACACCAGGUGUUCGAUUAAAGGAGAUAGAAAUUCGGAGGGGUGUUUUUGGGGGCACCUAUUAACUGAAUCCCCAAGCCGAUGGAAUUAUCCCAUUUUUUCAGAGUUUUGAAGGAGAUGAGAUGGGUGUUUGCUAGUUGUAUUGUUGGCAUGGGCAGCAUUGGAAAUAUAUGGCUAAAACUCUCCAAUCAGGUGGCAAGAGUCAGACGAGCUGCUGACCAGCUUCAUACUCGGUGACUCCUGCCGUCCAUGCUGCAUGCCAGGCAUCCACGUAUCGCCCUAGGAAUAUCCCGAGGGGCUCAGCUGGGUCCCACCGGCACAGCCAAAAUCUCCUAAGUCUUUCCUCCAUCUCUGUAGUAUAUGUCAUUUGAUCGAUCGCGCUCCUAUGCUCGGUAAAAUGUGGGGGUGGAUGUGGUGGCUCCAUCUGAAAAAUAGGUUAUGUAUCAAAUACUAGCAAUAAAACGAAACGAGUAGAAGAAACUUAAACAGUUCCUAGGGUCCAUCUUCUAUAUUUGAACAUCAUGUGUGAUACUCAAGGUUCUGCUAAUGCUAUCUACGUAAUUCUACUACUAUCUCAUAGGUAUUUCUAGCUUUCCAUCUUAUCGCAACAAUCUGUGGGGUUCUUGGUUCUUAACACUCUUUUAAAACCUUCUUUAUUAGCA
Molecule: long non-coding RNA, 2287 nt
Organism: Salvia miltiorrhiza (redroot sage)
Lineage: Eukaryota; Viridiplantae; Streptophyta; Magnoliopsida; Lamiales; Lamiaceae
Exons: 2
Source: RefSeq, a predicted model, not a curated record